This 237-nucleotide long non-coding RNA is filed under the name Ananas comosus (pineapple). RNAcentral's name for it is "long non-coding RNA (ACOM_LNC026303)". The record is from RNAcentral. Lineage: Eukaryota; Viridiplantae; Streptophyta; Magnoliopsida; Poales; Bromeliaceae.
GCUGGUUCAUGUGCUACUCCCAAGCCACAAAACGAAACGAAGCAUCAUACUGAACACAAGCCUUGGACCGAAGUGCAUUACAAGAGGAAGAGUUCUGUUAUCUCUUCCCUUAAAAAGACAUACAGGGAUGCUCUUCUAACACCUACUCCACAUACUCUACCCCGCAUUCCCUAGAGACCCACUUCCUCCACCUCUACCAAAUUCGUCAAACACGCCUUCAUCGGCCGGUGCUUCAGG